CUACGGGUGGCAGCAGCAGGGAAUAUUGCACAAUGGACGGAAGUCUGAUGCAGCGACGCCGCGUGGAUGAUGAAGGCCCUCGGGUUGUAAAAUCCUUUUCAGGGGGACGAGGAAGGACGGUACCCUUGGAAUAAGCGUCGGCUAACUACGUGCCAGCAGCCGCGGUAAGACGUAGGACGCAAGCGUUAUCCGGAUUUACUGGGCGUAAAGCGUCUGUAGGCGGAAUGGUAAGUUGGACGUGAAAGCUCCGAGCUCAACCCGGAGAGGUCGUUCAAUACUGCCAAACUAGAGGGCAUCAGAGGAGCGUGGAAUUUCCGGUGUAGCGGUAAAAUGCGCAGAUAUCGGAAGGAACACCAAUGGCGAAGGCAGCGCUCUGGGAUGAACCUGACGCUAAGAGACGAAAGCUAGGGGAGCGAACAGGAUUAGAUACCCCGGUAGUC
RNAcentral lists this ribosomal RNA (440 nucleotides) under uncultured bacterium. Its description in RNAcentral is "partial 16S ribosomal RNA". It matches the Rfam family "Bacterial small subunit ribosomal RNA", at positions 339 to 795 of the family's 1533-position model. The record is from RNAcentral.